AGCAACAUGAGUUCGAGAUCCACUACAGAAAACGUGAAAUUAAAAUUAAAUGAUGUGGAAUCUAUGAAAAAUAAUUAUUUAGAACAUUGAUCACAAAACCAUAAGAUGGUCUUGAGAAAAUAAUUUUUUUAACCUCUCAUCAAACCUUCAGGGGAAUGAUCUCUGCCAUCUUAAUUGUCAAUAAAAGCCUAUAUCUCACCUCACAUCUCCGCGAGUUAUUGAUGGUGCAUCAGGGCUGAAGAGGAAAUCUGAUAGGAGAACGCAGUGGAUCAUGAAAGAAAUGUAAGGAGCAGGGACAUCAGAUGGAGGUGAUGGGCAGAUCAAACAGGUCAUCAAAGACAGGCAAUUUGAAGAAUUUCUAGUGGGACUGGAGAAAAUCACAUGGAAGGCAUUCAAGGAAGUUGUUGAAAUUCUUCUCGGCAUCUAAAGAGCAUCAAAAUACGUGCAGCUGGUUGAAAGCAUGCUUCAAGCAUAUAAAACCAUAAAAUGCAGCAUGUCAAGAUUCAUUUUCUGCAUUCCCAUUUAGACUUCUUCCCUGCAAGUGGUUGUGCUGUUAAUGACGAGCAUGGUGAAAGGUUUCACCAGGAGACUGCGGUCAUGGAGAAAAGAUACCAGGGCAACUGGAAUCCAUCAGUGCUGCUGAAUUAUU
This is a long non-coding RNA of Hypanus sabinus (Atlantic stingray), 649 nucleotides long. RefSeq lists it as uncharacterized. Lineage: Eukaryota; Metazoa; Chordata; Chondrichthyes; Myliobatiformes; Dasyatidae. The record is from RefSeq and is a predicted model, not a curated record. The transcript is spliced from 3 exons.